Long non-coding RNA from Oncorhynchus tshawytscha (Chinook salmon), 324 nucleotides. The record is from Ensembl. NCBI's taxonomy places the organism in Eukaryota, Metazoa, Chordata, Actinopteri, Salmoniformes, Salmonidae.
GGGGAGGUACGGUGGUCACAUAGUGCUGUGAAGGUACAGGGGAGAAGGUACAGGGGAUGUACGGUGGUCACAUAGUGCUGUGCAGGUACAGGGGAGGUACGGUGGUCACAUAGUGCUGUGCAGGUACAGGGGAGGUAUGGUGGUCACAUAGUGCUGUGCAGGUACAGGGGAGGUAUGGUGGUCACAUAGUGCUGUGCAGGUACAGGGGAGGUAUGGUGGUCACAUAGUGCUGUGCAGGUACAGGGGAGGUAUGGUGGUCACAUAGUGCUGUGCAGGUACAGGGGAGGUAUGGUGGUCACAUAGUGCUGUGCAGGUACAGGGGAG